Molecule: non-coding RNA, 173 nt
Organism: Cladophialophora immunda
Lineage: Eukaryota; Fungi; Ascomycota; Eurotiomycetes; Chaetothyriales; Herpotrichiellaceae
Source: Rfam
GACAGGUUGGCCGAGUGGUUCAAGGCGGCAGAUUUAAGCCCUUUUUUCAAAGGAAGAACUCUGCUUUCCGAGAGGAAGCGUGGGUAAGUAACAUACAUAGACACCUCGCCAAUAUGCCAUCGCCCAACAAACAGUCAUUAACAGAAGGAUAGGUUCGAACCCCACACCUGUCA